Molecule: non-coding RNA, 106 nt
Organism: Mycena rebaudengoi
Lineage: Eukaryota; Fungi; Basidiomycota; Agaricomycetes; Agaricales; Mycenaceae
Source: the annotation of a GenBank genome assembly
GCACCGGUGGUGCAAGAUUAAGGUGCACGUCCCUGUUACCUACCAGCUGUGUAGAUGGUUACAGUCUAAAUCAGGGAAGAGCGGGGUUCGAUUCCCCGCUGGUGCA